This 492-nucleotide ribosomal RNA is filed under the name uncultured bacterium. RNAcentral describes it as "partial 16S ribosomal RNA". It matches the Rfam family "Bacterial small subunit ribosomal RNA", at positions 29 to 507 of the family's 1533-position model. The record is from RNAcentral.
AGUGAACGCUGGCGGUGGGCCUAACACAUGCAAGUCGAGCGGCAGCACAGUAAGAGCUUGCUCUUACGGGUGGCGGGUGGCGGACGGGUGAGGAAUACAUCGGAAUCUACUUUUUCGUGGGGGAUAACGUAGGGAAACUUACGCUAAUACCGCAUACGACCUACGGGUGAAAGCAGGGGAUCUUCGGACCUUGCGCGAUUGAAUGAGCCGAUGUCGGAUUAGCUAGUUGGCGGGGUAAAGGCCCACCAAGGCGACGAUCCGUAGCUGGUCUGAGAGGAUGAUCAGCCACACUGGAACUGAGACACGGUCCAGACUCCUACGGGAGGCAGCAGUGGGGAAUAUUGGACAAUGGGCGCAAGCCUGAUCCAGCCAUACCGCGUGGGUGAAGAAGGCCUUCGGGUUGUAAAGCCCUUUUGUUGGGAAAGAAAAGCAGCAGGUUAAUACCCCGCUGUUCUGACGGUACCCAAAGAAUAAGCACCGGCUAACUUCGUG